Molecule: ribosomal RNA, 468 nt
Filed under: uncultured bacterium
Lineage: Bacteria
Description: partial 16S ribosomal RNA
Rfam family: Bacterial small subunit ribosomal RNA
Source: RNAcentral
GACGAACGCUGGCGGCGUGCUUAACACAUGCCAGUCGAACGGAAAGGCCCUGCUUUUGUGGGGUGCUCGAGUGGCGAACGGGUGAGUAACACGUGAGUAACCUGCCCUUGACUUUGGGAUAACUUCAGGAAACUGGGGCUAAUACCGGAUAGGAGCUCCUGCUGCAUGGUGGGGGUUGGAAAGUUUCGGCGGUUGGAGAUGGACUCGCGGCUUAUCAGCUUGUUGGUGGGGUAGUGGCUUACCAAGGCUUUGACGGGUAGCCGGCCUGAGAGGGUGACCGGCCACAUUGGGACUGAGAUACGGCCCAGACUCCUACGGGAGGCAGCAGUGGGGAAUAUUGCACAAUGGGCGGAAGCCUGAUGCAGCAACGCCGCGUGCGGGAUGACGGCCUUCGGGUUGUAACCCGCUUUCGCCUGUGACGAAGCGUGAGUGACGGUAAUGGGUAAAGAAGCACCGGCUAACUACGUG